RNAcentral lists this ribosomal RNA (844 nucleotides) under Paraburkholderia sp. Its description in RNAcentral is "bacterial SSU rRNA". It matches the Rfam family "Bacterial small subunit ribosomal RNA", at positions 27 to 865 of the family's 1533-position model. The record is from RNAcentral. Lineage: Bacteria; Pseudomonadati; Pseudomonadota; Betaproteobacteria; Burkholderiales; Burkholderiaceae.
GAUUGAACGCUGGCGGCAUGCCUUACACAUGCAAGUCGAACGGCAGCACGGGUGCUUGCACCUGGUGGCGAGUGGCGAACGGGUGAGUAAUACAUCGGAACGUGUCCUGUAGUGGGGGAUAGCCCGGCGAAAGCCGGAUUAAUACCGCAUACGAUCUACGGAUGAAAGCGGGGGAUCUUCGGACCUCGCGCUAUAGGGGCGGCCGAUGGCGGAUUAGCUAGUUGGUGGGGUAAAGGCCCACCAAGGCGACGAUCCGUAGCUGGUCUGAGAGGACGACCAGCCACACUGGGACUGAGACACGGCCCAGACUCCUACGGGAGGCAGCAGUGGGGAAUUUUGGACAAUGGGGGAAACCCUGAUCCAGCAAUGCCGCGUGUGUGAAGAAGGCCUUCGGGUUGUAAAGCACUUUUGUCCGGAAAGAAAUCCUGAUGGCUAAUAUCCGUCGGGGAUGACGGUACCGGAAGAAUAAGCACCGGCUAACUACGUGCCAGCAGCCGCGGUAAUACGUAGGGUGCAAGCGUUAAUCGGAAUUACUGGGCGUAAAGCGUGCGCAGGCGGUGAUGUAAGACCGAUGUGAAAUCCCCGGGCUCAACCUGGGAACUGCAUUGGUGACUGCAUCGCUGGAGUAUGGCAGAGGGGGGUAGAAUUCCACGUGUAGCAGUGAAAUGCGUAGAGAUGUGGAGGAAUACCGAUGGCGAAGGCAGCCCCCUGGGCCAAUACUGACGCUCAUGCACGAAAGCGUGGGGAGCAAACAGGAUUAGAUACCCUGGUAGUCCACGCCCUAAACGAUGUCAACUGGUUGUUGGGGAUUCAUUUCCUUAGUAACGUAGCUAACGCGUGAAGU